Molecule: unclassified non-coding RNA, 336 nt
Filed under: soil metagenome
Description: partial contains 5.8S ribosomal RNA, internal transcribed spacer 2, and large subunit ribosomal RNA
Rfam family: 5.8S ribosomal RNA (bases 1-120)
Source: RNAcentral
GAUGAAGAACGUAGCGAAAUGCGAUAAGUAAUGUGAAUUGCAGAAUUCAGUGAAUCAUCGAAUCUUUGAACGCACAUUGCGCCCGCCAGUAUUCUGGCGGGCAUGCCUGUUCGAGCGUCAUUUCAACCAUCAAGCCCCCGGCUUGUGUUGGGGACCUGCGGCUGCCGCAGGCCCUGAAAAGCAGUGGCGGACUCGCUGUCACACCGAGCGUAGUAGCAUACAUCUCGCUCUGGGCGUGCUGUGGGUUCCGGCCGUUAAACCACCUUCAUAACCCAAGGUUGACCUCGGAUCAGGUAGGAAGACCCGCUGAACUUAAGCAUAUCAAUAAGCGGAGGA